This 497-nucleotide ribosomal RNA is filed under the name uncultured bacterium. RNAcentral describes it as "partial 16S ribosomal RNA". It matches the Rfam family "Bacterial small subunit ribosomal RNA", at positions 28 to 507 of the family's 1533-position model. The record is from RNAcentral.
GAUGAACGCUGGCGGCGUGCCUAAUACAUGCCAGUCGAGCGAACAGACGAGGAGCUUGCUCCUCUGACGUUAGCGGCGGACGGGUGAGUAACACGUGGAUAACCUACCUCUAAGACUGGGAUGACUUCGGGAAACCGGAGCUAAUACCGGAUAAUAUAUUGAACCGCAUGGUUCAAUAGUGAAAGACGGUUUUGCUGUCACUUAUAGAUGGAUUCGCGCCGCAUUAGCUAGUUGGUAAGGUAACGGCUUACCAAGGCAACGAUGCGUAGCCGACCUGAGAGGGUGAUCAGCCACACUGGAACUGAGACACGGUCCAGACUCCUACGGGAGGCAGCAGUGGGGAAUCUUGCGCAAUGGGCGAAAGCCUGACGGAGCAACGCCGCGUGAGUGAUGAAGGUCUUCGGAUCGUAAAACUCUGUUAUUAGGGAAGAACAAAUGUGUAAGUAACUAUGCACGUCUUGACGGUACCUAAUCAGAAAGCCACGGCUAACUACGUG